AGAGCGAACGCUGGCGGCAGGCCUAACACAUGCAAGUCGAGCGCCCGUAGCAAUACGGGAGCGGCAGACGGGAUAGUAACACGUGGGAACGCGCCCUUCGGUUCGGAAUAACUCAGGGAAACUUGAGCUAAUACCGAAUACGCCCUUACGGGGAAAGAUUUAUUGCCGAAGGAACGGCCCGCGUCCGAUUAGCUAGUUGGUGAGGUAAUGGCUCACCAAGGCUACGAUCGGUAGCUGGUCUGAGAGGAUGACCAGCAUCACUGGGACUGAGACACGGCCCAGACUCCUACGGGAGGCAGCAGUGGGGAAUAUUGGACAAUGGGCGCAAGCCUGAUCCAGCCAUGCCGCGUGGAUGGAUGAAGGCCUUAGGGUUGUAAAGUCCUUUUAACGGGAAGAUAAUGACGGUACCCGUAGAAUAAGCCCCGGCUAACUUCGUGCCAGCAGCCGC
This 448-nucleotide ribosomal RNA is filed under the name uncultured bacterium. Its description in RNAcentral is "SSU rRNA". It matches the Rfam family "Bacterial small subunit ribosomal RNA", at positions 26 to 518 of the family's 1533-position model. The record is from RNAcentral.